Molecule: ribosomal RNA, 439 nt
Filed under: uncultured bacterium
Lineage: Bacteria
Description: bacterial SSU rRNA
Rfam family: Bacterial small subunit ribosomal RNA
Source: RNAcentral
AGCGAACGCUGGCGGCAUGCUUAACACAUGCAAGUCGCACGGUUGGGGGCAACUCCGGCAGUGGCGGACGGGUGAGUAACGCGUAGGAAUCUAUCCUUGGGUGGGGGACAACCGUGGGAAACUACGGCUAAUACCGCAUGAUGCCUGAGGGCCAAAGACGAAAGUCGUUUGAGGAGGAGCCUGCGUCUGAUUAGGUAGUUGGUGGGGUAAAGGCCUACCAAGCCUACGAUCAGUAGCUGGUCUGAGAGGAUGAUCAGCCACAUUGGGACUGAGACACGGCCCAAACUCCUACGGGAGGCAGCAGUGGGGAAUAUUGGACAAUGGGCGCAAGCCUGAUCCAGCAAUGCCGCGUGGGUGAAGAAGGUCUUCGGAUUGUAAAGCCCUUUUGGCGGGGACGAUGAUGACGGUACCCGCAGAAUAAGCUCCGGCUAACUUCGUG